Molecule: ribosomal RNA, 237 nt
Filed under: uncultured Lactobacillus sp.
Lineage: Bacteria; Bacillati; Bacillota; Bacilli; Lactobacillales; Lactobacillaceae
Description: partial 16S ribosomal RNA
Rfam family: Bacterial small subunit ribosomal RNA
Source: RNAcentral
CCUGCCCAAGAGAUCGGGAUAACACCUGGAAACAGAUGCUAAUACCGGAUAACAACAGAUGAUGCCUAUCAACUGUUUAAAAGAUGGUUCUGCUAUCACUCUUGGAUGGACCUGCGGUGCAUUAGCUAGUUGGCAGGGUAACGGCCUACCAAGGCGAUGAUGCAUAGCCGAGUUGAGAGACUGAUCGGCCACAUUGGGACUGAGACACGGCCCAAACUCCUACGGGAGGCAGCAGAC